UACGUAGGGCGCGAGCGUUGUCCGGAAUCAUUGGGCGUAAAGAGCUCGUAGGCGGCCGGUUGCGUCUGCUGUGAAAUCCCGGGGCUUAACCCCGGGCGUGCAGUGGAUACGGGCUGGCUGGAGGCAGGCAGGGGAGAAUGGAAUUCCCGGUGUAGCGGUGAAAUGCGCAGAUAUCGGGAGGAACACCGGUGGCGAAGGCGGUUCACUGGCUCAUAUCUGACGCUCAGGCGCGACAGCGUGGGGAUCAAACAGG
Molecule: ribosomal RNA, 253 nt
Filed under: uncultured bacterium
Lineage: Bacteria
Description: partial 16S ribosomal RNA
Rfam family: Bacterial small subunit ribosomal RNA
Source: RNAcentral